UUUCCGUAGGUGAACCUGCGGAAGGAUCAUUAAUGAGUUGUCAUGGGGUUCGAUGCUGGCAGCCAGUUUUUGGAUGCAUGUGCUUGCCCCAACAAUCAUCUUCUUCCAAACACCUGUGCACAUUUUUGAGGGAGUCUUGAGUUGGUUGCCGCUCUUGGGUGAUUUUCUCACAUUCCCUUAAAUCAUUAUACGCUAUUAACAAUGUUGAACGUGCUCUGUGCCGCAAGGCCAUUAAUAUAAUACAACUUUUAACAACGGAUCUCUUGGCUCUC
This 272-nucleotide unclassified non-coding RNA is filed under the name plant metagenome. Its description in RNAcentral is "partial contains small subunit ribosomal RNA, internal transcribed spacer 1, and 5.8S ribosomal RNA". The record is from RNAcentral.